RNAcentral lists this long non-coding RNA (1032 nucleotides) under Canis lupus dingo (dingo). RNAcentral describes it as "lncRNA (ENSCAFG00020007279.1)". Lineage: Eukaryota; Metazoa; Chordata; Mammalia; Carnivora; Canidae. The record is from RNAcentral.
AUUCAGGCUGUUCCUAGCUCCCAGGGACCCCGUGGCGGGGAAGGUGGCGGGAAACCUGCUGCCAGGAGCGUAGCCUCUACGUCCAGCGGUAUAAGCUCCGUGUCCCUGCUCUCGAGUUGGGGUGUACCCUUGCCCCGAGUGGGGUCACAUCAUCACCUCCUCGUGUCGUGGCCUCCGUAUCGGGGACACUGUGGCUGCCCCAAGGCAGACCCCGAGCACUGGGGCUCCGGCUGCGGUUCCCCAGUCCCGCGUCCCUGCCCCGCAUCCGGCGUCCUAACUCGCAGAUGCACGGGGGAGACUCAGGGUACCCUUGGUGGAGGGGGGCACGCUGGCCCAUCAGCCAUCCAGUCGGUGAAGGAGGCGAUCCCGGCCCCAAGAGGCCAGUGGGGUGAGACCCCGGCCGGGUGGGCAGGGCAGCCCCACCUUCCCGGAUCCGCGGCACCUGACGGAUCCCUUGCUGCGGAGGAGCGUGUCCGUCCUCCCUUCCCCGCCCCUACUCUGGGCCGCCCCGGGCGUCUCGGGGUGGACGCCUGUCCGUCUUCAUCCCGGGACCGCUGCCCCCGUGGCCGGAAGAAACUGUUCCCUCCAGAGCGCCCUUGGGAGGUGCUGCGAUGCCUCCGAGGCUCAUCCGCGGCCUCACCCCGCCACCCACCCUGGGGCCCGGGCACCUGGCGGCCCCGGAGCGCGUGGCCUCGAGGAAGCACUCAGGGGUGGAGCCCCUCCGCCCCGCGCUCCGCAGCCAGCACCUGCCCGUGGGCCGCCCUGGCCUGCGGGAGGCCUCAGCUCCGUCCUCCGGUUUGCAAAAGCAUCACCUCGAAGGGCUUUGUAGGCAGCACGAGAGGGUCGCCUCCCAGCAGGACCCUGCUCCCGGCACCACAGCUCAGGGACGGUUUUGCCCGCUGUGACCAUCCUCCCAAGAGCUGCGAGAACGUGACUGUGCCUGCCCCUCAGGCCGGGGCCCGUGCCCGCGGCGAUGCCCCACCCGCGAACGGGCCACCCCCCGCACCGGGAACCCUAAGGGUGAGGUUCUGA